GAUGAACGCUGGCGGCGUGCCUAAUACAUGCAAGUCGAGCGAACAGACGAGGAGCUUGCUCCUCUGACGUUAGCGGCGGACGGGUGAGUAACACGUGGAUAACCUACCUAUAAGACUGGGAUAACUUCGGGAAACCGGAGCUAAUACCGGAUAAUAUAUUGAACCGCAUGGUUCAAUAGUGAAAGACGGUUUUGCUGUCACUUAUAGAUGGAUCCGCGCCGCAUUAGCUAGUUGGUGGGGUAGUGGCUUACCAAGGCUUUGACGGGUAGCCGGCCUGAGAGGGCGACCGGCCACAUUGGGACUGAGAUACGGCCCAGACUCCUACGGGAGGCAGCAGUGGGGAAUAUUGCACAAUGGGCGGAAGCCUGAUGCAGCAACGCCGCGUGCGGGAUGACGGCCUUCGGGUUGUAAACCGCUUUCAGCAGGGGCGAAGCUUGUGGUGACGGUACCUGCAGAAGAAGCACCGGCUAACUACGUG
Molecule: ribosomal RNA, 478 nt
Filed under: uncultured bacterium
Lineage: Bacteria
Description: partial 16S ribosomal RNA
Rfam family: Bacterial small subunit ribosomal RNA
Source: RNAcentral